RNAcentral lists this unclassified non-coding RNA (373 nucleotides) under uncultured bacterium. RNAcentral's name for it is "contains 16S-23S intergenic spacer region". The record is from RNAcentral.
UCCGGUUUGUCACCGGCAGUCUCCUUAGAGUGCCCAACCUAAUGCUGGCAACUAAGGACAAGGGUUGCGCUCGUUGCGGGACUUAACCCAACAUCUCACGACACGAGCUGACGACAACCAUGCACCACCUGUGAACCGACCCCAAAGGGGAAACCACAUCUCUGCAGCAGUCCGGUCCAUGUCAAGCCUUGGUAAGGUUCUUCGCGUUGCAUCGAAUUAAUCCGCAUGCUCCGCCGCUUGUGCGGGUCCCCGUCAAUUCCUUUGAGUUUCAGCCUUGCGGUCGUACUUCCCAGGUGGAUUACUUAAUGCUUUCGCUCAGACACACACAGUGUAUCGCGUAUGUCGAGUAAUCAUCGUUUAGGGCGUGGACUAC